Long non-coding RNA from Suricata suricatta (meerkat), 951 nucleotides. RefSeq lists it as uncharacterized. The record is from RefSeq and is a predicted model, not a curated record. The transcript is spliced from 3 exons. NCBI's taxonomy places the organism in Eukaryota, Metazoa, Chordata, Mammalia, Carnivora, Herpestidae.
GGCUGAGGCUAAGGGCGCAACAGUCCUCCUCGAAUCCUCUCUCUCCCGUUACCCCUCUCUUGUUUUCCGUUUUCUUCCAGGGUAAAUGAGUCAGGAAAGGGCUAGCACAUAGGUUUGUGCUUCCGUGUAAAGAGGCGGCAUCGCUUUUAAUGAUCGUUGACUUAAUUCUCUUGGACAGUUCCUCAUAUUAGCCGUUAGUCUCUUAAUGCUUAUGUUUUUCCCACGUAUAAGUUCCUACUUUAUCUUAUUUUGUAGCCUACUCUAAUGCGCAUUUAGUGAGUUCAGCCUAUUACAUAAGGUACUAUAAUUUGAUGAUAUUGAAUACUGGCAUGUGGUCAGGUGUUCGGAAGGAGAAAUUUCGCGGUUGGGAUGACUUAGUCCUUAGCUUUGCUUUUUCUGUGCAGAGAGAUGGACUGUUUUGCACCCAUUUGGUUUUUUAGGUCUUACUUUUUCUUAUCUAGAAAGUGAUUAAUUCCUCCCUUUUAGCAUCCCAGUAUUAUGCGGGUCGAAUUCAGCUGCAAAGCACACCGAGCUCUCUGGAGAGAGAGCGUGCCAAGCACUCGGUCCCCGUGCUGGUGAGAGAGAAGCCCUGCCCGCACGUGUCCUCCGUCGUUGGUGGGGACCACCAGCCGAGCCGUGAGGUGCUGGCGUAGAUCAGGAGCCGGCCGCCACCACUGCCGUCAGAUCGUUUCAGACCUUCCUUCACUCGCCGACUUGUCAGCUACACGUGCGCGUGGGUUCCGGCUCCUGAAUGUUAGACUUUCAACCCGUUUCCAGUUUUUUCCUCUUAUAAACACACCUGUGAACACCCUUUCAGCAAAUCGGUAACUAUUUUGAUACUAGGACUGCUGGUAAAAUACCGCCGUUCCACGGGAGUUUUGGUUAACAAAAGCACGUUUGGGGCUUGCAAGUGGCAUGAAGGUAUUUGAUAACUCGGGUCUCCCAUACUCU